UACAUGGUUUGUUAGCUGAUUAAUUAUUUUAUCAAGUUAGACAUUAUUUGAUAUGUGGUUUGUUGGCUGAUAAAUUAGUUGAUACAUAUUUUGUGGGUUAAUACAUUAUUUGAUAAAAUGUUUGUUAUCUGAUAAAUGACUUGAUACCUGGUACAUGUUUUGUCAGUUGAUAUAUGGUUUAAUACUAAAUAAUUGAUAAAUAGUUGGUAUAAUGGUACAAAAGAUUCAUCGUUAACUGCUACAUGAUUUGUGUAGCUGAUAAAUGGUUUGGUAAAUAGUUUGUCAGCGUGUAGAUUGUGUAAUACUUGGUUUUUUAACUGACAAAUGGGUUGAUAAAUGAUUUGUGAGUUAAUAAGUUGUUUGAUAAAUCGUUUGUGAUCUGAUACAUAAUCUUUUACAAGGUACAUGUUUUGUUACCUGAUGAAUAAUUUGAUAUGAAAGAUUGAUAAGUAGUUGGUAUGAUGUUACAUAAGACUUGUCGCUAAUUGAUAUUUGAUUUGGUGUAGUUGCUAAAUGUUUUGAAAAAUGAUUUGUCAGCUUGUACAUUGUUUGAUUUGUUAGCUCACAAAAGGAUUGAUAUAUGGUGUGAGUCAAAAUGUUGUUUGUUAAAUAAUUUGUUAUUUGAUAUAUGAUUUGUUACGCGGUAUAUGUUUUGUUUGGUGAUGCAUAGUUUGACAUCGAAGAAUGAGUAAAAGAAAAGAUUUAAAAAUUUGAAAAAUUGUGGAAAUGAGGAGAUAAAAAAAUUGCAUGAAAUAAAGUGUAAGAGGAAAAAGAAUCACUACAAAAAAAAAACCAUCAUUGAUAGCAGAUUGUUAUAGCACGUUUUACUAAACUGCUAUUGUAUAUGAGUUAAAAAUUUCAGAAUUUUAUAAUAGCUUUAGAAAAACGCUAUGAUAUAGUGAAACCUAAAAUAACACUUAAUUAAUGCUAUUUUAAAAAUUAAGUGAGCGGAAGGAUAAAACCAUUGAUUCCGCCAAUAGUUACUGGGAAAAUUGACUUAAGCACCAAAGACAUUAUUUAAGCGGCUUUAGUAAUGCGAUCGAAGACAUAUAAUAGCAUUUUUCGAACACUAAGAAAAACUAAUUGGACCCUAAACCUAAACAUGAUUUUAAACCCUAAACUCUAAAGAGAACCCUUAAAACUCUAAUAUUUUCAUAGUGUAACUUCAAAUCCUAAAAAUUAAACUCAAAAUUUAAGCUUCUUAAUCUUAAACUAUCAUUUUAUAAAUACAAAUUUUAAAUCUUUAAUCAAACCCGCAUACCUGGAAUGAAGUGGAUAAGUUGAAACCCUAAACCCUACACCUAUUUUAAACUCUAAACUCUAAACAUAAAUUUUAAACUCUAAUGUUUUCAUACUAUAAUCUCAAAUCUUAAAUUUAAACUCAAAAUUUAUUAUUCUCAAUCUUAGACUAUAACUUCAAAAAAAAAAAAACAAUUAAAUCUUCAAUCAAACUCUAUACUCUAAACUCUAAUUUCAAACAUAAACUAUACAUCCACUAAAAAUAAACUUCAAAUCUAAAUUUUUAAAAUUAAAACACAAAUCUUAAACAUAAUAUUUCAAUCUAAUACUUUUCAUACUAUAAUCCAAAAUCUUAAUUCUAAACCCUAUAUAUCAUACUCCAAACUUGUAUCUUAAACACUAAUUUUUAAGUGAAUCUAACUAAAUUCAUAAUAGCUUUUAAUUAUAUAAAUUAAAUCAUACCUACAAAAUAUAUAAGCACUAAUUAAGAUUCAAAAACUUGAAACAUAAUCAUUUAAAUCAUUAACUUUUUUUGGAACAUUUAAAUCAUUAAAUUAAUUCAUAUGAUUUAAACUGCAAAUUAAAAAACUUGUGUCGUUAAGCCUUCUGCGACAAAAAAAGAAGAAGGGAAAUCUAACUUCUUUUUAUCCUUGUUUUCUAUUGGUCGAGAUAACGAUGGUGUGGAUCACUAAUUUUAACCAUUGAUUAUAUUUUAAUCAGUGGACCAGAUUGAUUUUUGGUCUAUUUGUUUCUCUUAAUCUUACGCGACUUUUGCUUUCUUCUUCAAUUGUUCAUUUCUCACACACACAACACAGAUUCAUCAAUCAAGCUGGCCGCCUUCUGAUUGUGCGACGGAGACCAAGCGAAGUGGUGGAACAGAGAGAGGAGAUAGAUCUCGAAGAUUCAGUGAAAGGAGAAGACGUGACGGUCGGUCUCGAAUGCUCCCUCAUGGUCACCGAUCUCUAGAUCGUCCCCGUUCUCACCAGCACCAGCACCGACGCACUCGUCACCACCACUACUCCCAUCGAUUCCGUCGCACUCUUCACCACUACCACAGUCAUUUCUCUCUCUCUGUCUCUAUUAACCUCCAUUCUUCGUUGAUGGGACAAUGGCUGAAGACCUUCACGGUGGUGGAAGAAGACCUUGACGGGAUAGUGGUUGAAGACCUUGACGGUGGAAGAAGAAGAGGAAGCUAUGGCGGCUGGAGUCUUAUUUUUUUUUAGGUUUAGGUUUUUCUUUAAGAUUUGGUUUAGUGUAAACCAAGUUGGGGAAAUUGUGUUGGUUUGACUUUAGUGUUUAAUUUUGGUUUUGUUUUGUAAACCGAAAUUUAUUUUUAAACCCAUUUUAAUUUAUAAAUAAAAUUUAUUUUAUUUUAAAA
Long non-coding RNA from Brassica napus (rape), 2617 nucleotides. RefSeq lists it as uncharacterized. The record is from RefSeq and is a predicted model, not a curated record. Lineage: Eukaryota; Viridiplantae; Streptophyta; Magnoliopsida; Brassicales; Brassicaceae. The transcript is spliced from 2 exons.